UUCGAUGGUAGUGUAUUGGACUAUCAUGGCUAUCACGGGUAACGGGGAAUUAGGGUUCGAUUCCGGAGAGGGAGCCUGAGAAAUGRCUACCACAUCUAAGGAAGGCAGCAGGCGCGUAAAUUACCCAAUCCUGAUUCAGGGAGGUAGUGACAAGAAAUAACAACCUGGAGCCUCACGGCUUCCGGGAUUGCAAUGAAAACAAUUUAAAUAACUUAUUGAGGAACAAUUGGAGGGCAAGUCUGGUGCCAGCAGCCGCGGUAAUUCCAGCUCCAAUAGCGUAUAUUAAAGUUGUUGCAGUUAAAAAGCUCGUAGUUGAACUUCUGUCUGCCAGAACUUGGCCUCGGUCAUUUUCGGGCAGACAUCCGCCAGAAAUAGUUGGCUACCUUCACUGGUUAGUCUUCUAGUUAUGGCAGUUUACUUUGAAAAAAUUAGAGUGUUCAAGGCAGGCAAUCGCCGUGAAUACACAAGCAUGGAAUAAUGGAAAAGGACUACGAUCCCAUUUUGUUGGUUAUCGGAUCUAGUAAUGAUUAAUAGGGACKAGUUGGGGGCAUUAGUACUUAAUUGUCAGAGGUGAAAUUCUUGGAUUUAUUAAAGACUAACUUAUGCGAAAGCAUUUGCCAAGGAUGUUUUCAUUAAUCAAGAACGAAAGUUAGGGGAUCAAAGACGAUCUGAUACCGUC
RNAcentral lists this ribosomal RNA (679 nucleotides) under uncultured ciliate. Its description in RNAcentral is "bacterial SSU rRNA". It matches the Rfam family "Eukaryotic small subunit ribosomal RNA", at positions 323 to 1030 of the family's 1831-position model. The record is from RNAcentral. Lineage: Eukaryota; Ciliophora.